This 176-nucleotide ribosomal RNA is filed under the name Paenibacillus sp. OV219. RNAcentral's name for it is "16S rRNA. Bacterial SSU". It matches the Rfam family "Bacterial small subunit ribosomal RNA", at positions 1 to 175 of the family's 1533-position model. The record is from RNAcentral. Lineage: Bacteria; Bacillati; Bacillota; Bacilli; Caryophanales; Paenibacillaceae.
CUAUUAUGGAGAGUUUGAUCCUGGCUCAGGACGAACGCUGGCGGCGUGCCUAAUACAUGCAAGUCGAGCGGAUCUUGUCCUUCGGGACAAGGUUAGCGGCGGACGGGUGAGUAACACGUAGGCAACCUGCCUGUAAGAUCGGGAUAACAUUCGGAAACGGAUGCUAAUACCGGAUA